This is a long non-coding RNA of Homo sapiens (human), 3996 nucleotides long. RefSeq lists it as uncharacterized. The record is from RefSeq and is a predicted model, not a curated record. The transcript has 6 exons. Lineage: Eukaryota; Metazoa; Chordata; Mammalia; Primates; Hominidae.
AUUGUCUGACAAAGAGUUUAAAGCAGGCAAGCCUGAUGAAAAUGAUUUAGUGGUACUUAUAAGCACACUUGAAACAAAUGGACAAGUAGAAAGACUCAGCAAAUAAAUACAAGACAUAAAUGAGAACCAAAUGGAAGUAUUAGAAGUGAAAAAUACAACAACUAAAAUAAAAAGUCCAGCAGAUAGGCUCAGCAGCAGAAUGGAUGGUGCGAAGCAAACAAAUCCAUAUACUGCAGAUGAGAAAAACAGAAAUUACAGAAUCCUAACAGGGAAAAAAUAGACUGGGGGAGAAAGUGAACAGAACCUCAGGGACCUGUGAAACUACCUCAAAAGUUCUCACUUUCAUGUUGCUAUCAGUGUCUGGAAGGGGAAGAGGAAGAAGACAAGGCUGAAAACAUACUCAAAGAAGUAAACGGCUGAAAGCUACCCAGAUUUGGCAAAAGACAUAAACCUACAGGCUCAAUAAGCUGUUAGAACCCCAAAUAGGAAAAAACCCAAAGAGGUCUAUGGCAAGACAUGAAAAAAUAAAAUGUUGGAAAAGAAAGACAAGGAAAAUAUCUGGAAAACAACACAGAAAGGUGACACCUUACCUAGAAAGGAAAAACAAUUCUGGUGAUGAUGGAUUUCUCAUCAGAAACCAUGGAGGCAGAAAGAAGUUGUGCAGUGCUUUUCAAGCCGUGAAAGAAAAUAAUUGUCAGCCCAGACUCCUCUGUCCAACAGAAACAUCUUUCAGGAAUUAAGGGGAAGAUCAAAACAGUUUCAGAUUAAGAAAAGCUAAGGGAAUCUCUGACCAGCAGUUCUGCCUUAAAAGAAAAGCAAAAGGGAGUUCUCCAGACAGAAAGGAAAUGAUUAAAGAAGGAAACUUGGGACGUCAGAAAGAAAAUUUUUAAAAAACAGUGAGCAAAAUAGGCCUUCUUUCUCCUCUUGUGUUUUCUAAACUAUGCCUGACGGUUUCAGAAAAAAAUCAUAGCACCAUCCGAUGUGGUUCUAACUCUACAUACAGAAAAUGUUGGAAACAAUUAUAAACUGGAAGGGUAAAGAGACCUACAUAGGAGGUUGCUUGUCUAUUGUUCACUCAACUGGUGAAACAAUGACACCAGUAUACUGUGUGGUCAGAUAUAGAUGCACAGACAUAUGAAUAUAUAUAUAUACCUGGAAAAACCAAGAGGGCUAUACAAACACAUAUACUAAAAAAUACUAUGGAUAAGGCAAAACACCAUUCUCAAAGAUGCUUAAGUCACCACAGCAGGUAAGAAAAAUAAAGCAUAUCCAGAAAAUGAAACCAGAGAGAACAAACAGAAAAGGAAAAAUAAAAUGGCAGACUUAAGCCCUACCAUAUCAAUCAUCACAUUAAAUAUCAAUGGGCUAAGUACACCAAUUACAAGACAGAGAUUGGCAGAGUAGGUUAAUGGACAUGACCCAACUACAUCCUGGCUACAAAGAGACUACCUUCAAAUAUGAUGAUACAGGCAAGUUGAAAUCAAAAGGAUGGAAAAAGAUAUAUCAUGCAAACAUUAGCUAAAGGAAAGUAAGACUGGCUAUAUUAAUGCCAGAUAUAGUAUAUUUCAGAACAAAGAAACUAAUCAGAGAGAGAGAGGGACGUUAUAAAAUGAUGAAAGGACCAAUCCACCAACCCCUCCCCUGACGAGGCCGGUUGAGAUGUGUGAAGCAGCUCUGGCUACAGCGGGUAGGGAGAGGGCGCGCGGGACCCAGGAGCCUCCGUGCGGAGCCAGGCCUCAGGAGCAGCCGCCUUGUUCCUGGAAGGGGUGCCUCCCUCCAUCUUGUCUCCAAAGACUGUAGGGAGACCUUCUCGCCCGGUAGGAAAGCGACGUCUCCCAUGCUUUCCCACCACGCAGGCCUUGUGGCCUUUCUCCUGCUAGUGUCUGCCCUCCAACCUGCGGGGGCUGCGGCUGCCACGGUUCCACGCUGGGUGGACGCUGCCUGCCCGGGAUCCAAGAGCCGCCGUUGCAGGCGGGAGUUGGGGAGUCGUGUGCAGGUCCGAAGGAGACCCAAGCUCUUGGUCAAGGCUUUUUUGCUAUAGCCAAAUUCAGCGUGUAAGAGACAGAGAGCUCACAUCUGUCUGUUCGUAAGCUUCGGUGAGAACACCAAGGAAGCGCACUCAAGAUUCGUAGGAGGGCGGGAAGGGUCCCUGGCGGCGAUAUCCGCGUCGGCGGUGAGCCAAGGCAUGUCAGGAGAGUGAGUGCGCGAACCCAGCCGCCGGAUAGCGCAAACACCACCGCGGACGAGGGCCCCGCAUGUGGAGAAAUCGCAGGGGUCAGCGGAGCCGAAGUGUGGUGGACUAGCCUCCUCCGGGGAGAACCCCCUUCCUGACCACUGUAUGUCCCCCGCCACAUAAGGGGAGAGGAGGGACAGCACAGCCUACUCUCCCCUGGCGGACGAUCAGGGUCACCACCUUCUCCUCUGCUCUCCCCUCGCCAUUCUUCCAAACCACCCUCCGCCAAAGAUUCCACGGACAGUCACCCUCCCAACAACCCAGGCCUCCUUUCAGCAGCGGCUCCCGCCCCACAGCCACCACGCCCUCUCACCCCCGCGGUUCUGCCCGCCGCCUCUGCCGAGUCUGUGCACUUCACCUCCCUGGGUCCCGCUCCCCCCUGAGCUUACAGUGGACGAGGGGCAGGACGGGGGAAAGGCCGUUCGGCUGCCCUUCUAGCUUCAGAAUCACCCAGUGAACGGGUUUCAACCGUAGCCGGCAAGAUGCGCCUCUCCGGUUUUCCGAGGCUUUGGAACCUGCACAAUUGUUCUGCAAAAGACGGUGGCUCCGCCUAGCAUUGGAUGGGCGCUUGCUCUGCAUGGUGAUGCCGGAGCGAGGGUCGACUGUCCGUCUGUCGCAGUCGGGUGGUGUGCUUGCUUCCAAGUCUGGAGUUGGCUGGUUCAAGCUCGUUCUACUGAGCGUUUCUUGCAUUUUAAAAAUGCUUAAACCGCUGGCAACUUUCUUCUACCCAGCACAUUCUCUCAUGGAAUGGCAGAGCAAGACCAACUUUACCCGCCUCUCCUCCGUGUCUCCCAUACGACAUGAGGACGUAAAUCAAGAUCUGGAUUUUCAUCUGGUAUUGGAUUCCUUCUGCCCGGAAGACUCCUUUGACGUUUCUGUAGUGUGGGUCAGCUGGUAGUGAAUUCGGUCAGCUUAUGAACUCAAAAGAGGUGUAGGAGGAGAGAAGCUCAAUUAUCACCCUGGUCUCCUGGAGUAUCCCAGGCACAGUCCCAGGAGUUCAGCUUUUCAUACUCGAGUUCCUGGGUCCUGAAGGCCUUUUUGGGGAAAGUACUGAUGUUCGUGUCAAGGUUGGGAAGAAAGGGUUUGGGAGGAACCAAGCAACAGGGAGGCAAAGAGAAGACAUCAACAAGCGAGGCAAGAACUUUCCACAGGCUCACACUGGAUACAGGACCAGAGACAAGAAGCUGGCAGUGUGGUGGGGAGGCCAUGGCAAUCAUUAGCUCUGGAGGCCUGAGGAGGACACUCUGAAGAGGAAAGCCCCGCGAUCAUCCGGUUUCACCCCUGUUUUCAUCUACUCUUUUCCUCAGCGAAGCCUAUAUGGGUUCCCGAUGUCACAUCGCAGCUACCGCAUUGGAGGGUUAAGAGCCGCUGACAAAUCUCUUUCGGGAAGGGGCUGUUUCCCUCCCUGUUUUCCUCAGAAGAAGAGUUCCAAACAAAAGAUCUACUACCCUGAGAAGCGGUGAAGUGCUCCUGGGGCCCACCAAGGCCACACAAGUCAAGGAGUGGAUGGCCUUGCCCCAGCUAUGGCUCAGAUCACCUUUGCAGGAUGACAUCUUGUUGGGAGAUGGUCAUCAGAGACAGGGCCAUGGAAGACGCUGUCAGGAGGAGGCACAGAGGAAAGGCUAUGGGAGCACAAAGCAAGAAAGUGGCCUUCUGCAAGCCAGGAAGAGAGGCCUCCCCAGAAACCAACUCUACCAGCACAUCGAUCUUGGACUUUUGGCCUCUAGAACAUUGAGAAAAUAAAAGUCUGCUGUUAAACCACC